Molecule: ribosomal RNA, 209 nt
Filed under: uncultured bacterium
Lineage: Bacteria
Description: partial 16S ribosomal RNA
Rfam family: Bacterial small subunit ribosomal RNA
Source: RNAcentral
GGUGCGUAGGUGGCUAGGUAAGUCAGAGGUGAAAGCCCGGCGCUUAACGUCGGAAUUGCCUUUGAUACUGCUUAGCUUGAAUUGGGUUGAGGUAGGCGGAAUGAGUCAUGUAGCGGUGAAAUGCAUAGAUAUGACUUAGAACACCGAUUGCGAAGGCAGCUUACUGGACCUUGAUUGACACUGAGGCACGAAAGCGUGGGGAGCGAACA